Molecule: ribosomal RNA, 775 nt
Filed under: uncultured Neocallimastigales
Lineage: Eukaryota; Fungi; Neocallimastigomycota; Neocallimastigomycetes; Neocallimastigales
Description: partial large subunit ribosomal RNA
Rfam family: Eukaryotic large subunit ribosomal RNA
Source: RNAcentral
UUAUGUGAUCGUCUCUCGCAUAUCAAUAAGCGGAGGAAAAGAAACUAACAAGGAUUCCCCUAGUAACGGCGAGUGAAGCGGGAAGAGCUCAAAUUUGAAAUCUUAAAGGGUUUCCCUUUACGAAUUGUAGUUUAAAGAAGUGUUUUCUGUUGAGGUUUUGGUAAAAGUUCUUUGGAAUAGGACAUCAUAGAGGGUGAGAAUCCCGUAUUUGACCUUUACUUUCAACUUUGUGAUACACUUUCAAAGAGUCGGAUUGUUUGGGAAUGCAGUCCAAAAUGGGUGGUAAAUUUCAUCUAAAGCUAAAUAUUGGCGAGAGACCGAUAGCGAACAAGUACCGUGAGGGAAAGAUGAAAAGAACUUUGAAAAGAGAGUUAAACAGUACGUGAAAUUGUCAAAAGGGAAGCGUUUGACACCAGUGUUGUUUUUCUGAAAAUCAAUUAAAGAACUGUUUAUGCUAAGCUGUUUAGACUUUAUCAGCUAUCUGUUUAGUUUUGAGCUUUUCUUUAAUGCACUUUUCAGUUAACAAGUCAACAUCAAUUUCUUUUGCUGUAAAAAAGCUUGAGGAAGGUGGCUUGAGAUUCGUCUUAAGUGUUUAUAGCCUCUUGCCUAUGCAGUCGGAGAGAUUGAGGUCUGCAGCGUAGAUCCUUCGGGGCUAAAUGCAUUUGUGCUAAGUUAUAGCAUUUUAUAGACAACUUGUUGACUAUGAUUUGUCUUGUAGCUUACUCGCUUAUGUUAUUUUACCUACGCUUAGGAUGUUGAUCUACAGAGCGAGAGU